RNAcentral lists this ribosomal RNA (468 nucleotides) under uncultured bacterium. RNAcentral's name for it is "partial 16S ribosomal RNA". It matches the Rfam family "Bacterial small subunit ribosomal RNA", at positions 28 to 507 of the family's 1533-position model. The record is from RNAcentral.
GACGAACGCUGGCGGCGUGCUUAACACAUGCAAGUCGAACGGAAAGGCCCUGCUUUUGUGGGGUGCUCGAGUGGCGAACGGGUGAGUAACACGUGAGUAACCUGCCCUUGACUUUGGGAUAACUUCAGGAAACUGGGGCUAAUACCGGAUAGGAGCUCCUGCUGCAUGGUGGGGGUUGGAAAGUUUCGGCGGUUGGGGAUGGACUCGCGGCUUAUCAGCUUGUUGGUGGGGUAGUGGCUUACCAAGGCUUUGACGGGUAGCCGGCCUGAGAGGGUGACCGGCCACCUUAGGACUGAGAGACGGACCAGACGCCUACGGGAGGCAGCAGUGGGGAAUAUUGCACAAUGGGCGGGAGCCUGAUGCAGCGACGCCGCGUUCGUGAUGACGGCCUUCUGGUUGUAAACCGCUUUCGCCUGUGACGAAGCGGUAUUGACGGUAAUUGGUAAAAAAGCACCGGCUAACUACGUG